AGAGUUUGAUCCUGGCUCAGAACGAACGCUGGCGGCGUGCUUAACACAUGCAAGUCGAACGGGAUCCAGAGCUUGCUCUGGUGAGAGUGGCGCACGGGUGAGUAACGCGUGGAUAACCUGCCCUGGUAUCCGGAAUAACAUCUCGAAAGGGGUGCUAAUACCGGAUAAGCCUACGGAGCCUUCGGUCUCUGCAGGAAAAGGUGGCCUCUAUUUAUAAGCUACCGUAUCAGGAUGGGUCCGCGUACCAUUAGCUAGUUGGUGGGGUAAUGGCCUACCAAGGCGACGAUGGUUAGCUGGUCUGAGAGGAUGAUCAGCCACACUGGAACUGAGACACGGUCCAGACUCCUACGGGAGGCAGCAGUGGGGAAUUUUGCGCAAUGGGGGAAACCCUGACGCAGCAACGCCGCGUGAGUGAUGAAGGCUUUCGGGUCGUAAAGCUCUGUCAGAGGGGAAGAAAUGAGAUUGGCUAAUAUCCAAUUUUCUUGACGGUACCCUCAAAGGAAGCACCGGCUAACUCCGUGCCAGCAGCCGCGGUAA
This 537-nucleotide ribosomal RNA is filed under the name uncultured bacterium. RNAcentral's name for it is "bacterial SSU rRNA". It matches the Rfam family "Bacterial small subunit ribosomal RNA", at positions 8 to 523 of the family's 1533-position model. The record is from RNAcentral.